This 600-nucleotide ribosomal RNA is filed under the name uncultured low G+C Gram-positive bacterium. Its description in RNAcentral is "bacterial SSU rRNA". It matches the Rfam family "Bacterial small subunit ribosomal RNA", at positions 917 to 1509 of the family's 1533-position model. The record is from RNAcentral. Lineage: Bacteria; Bacillati; Bacillota.
GGACCCNCACAANGCGGUGGAGNCAUGUGGNUUAANUUCGAAGGCAACGCGAAGAACCUUACCAAAAUCUUGGCAUCCUUNGANUGCUCUAGAGAUAGAGUCUUCCCCUUCGGGGGACAAAGUGACAGGUGGUGCAUGGUUGUCAUCAGCUCGUGUCGUGAGAUUUUGGGUUAAGUCCCGCAACGAGCGCAACCCUUAAGCUUAGUUGCCAUCAUUAAGUUGGGCACUCUAAGUUGACUGCCGGUGACAAACCGGAGGAAGGUGGGGAUGACGUCAAAUCAUCAUGCCCCUUAUGAUUUGGGCUACACACGUGCUACAAUGGACAAUACAAAGGGCAGCUAAACCGCGAGGUCAAGCAAAUCCCAUAAAGUUGUUCUCAGUUCGGAUUGUAGUCUGCAACUCGACUACAUGAAGCUGGAAUCGCUAGUAAUCGUAGAUCAGCAUGCUACGGUGAAUACGUUCCCGGGUNUUGUACACACCGCCCGUCACACCACGAGAGUUUGUAACACCCGAAGCCGGUGGAGUAACCAUUUAUGGAGCUAGCCGUCGAAGGUGGGACAAAUGAUUGGGGUGAAGUCGUAACAAGGUAGCCGUAAAGGG